AUUGAACGCUGGCGGCAUGCUUUACACAUGCAAGUCGAACGGUAACAGGUCUUCGGAUGCUGACGAGUGGCGAACGGGUGAGUAAUACAUCGGAACGUGCCUAGUAGUGGGGGAUAACUACUCGAAAGAGUAGCUAAUACCGCAUGAGAUCUACGGAUGAAAGUAGGGGACCUUCGGGCCUUGUGCUACUAGAGCGGCUGAUGGCAGAUUAGGUAGUUGGUGGGGUAAAGGCUUACCAAGCCUGCGAUCUGUAGCUGGUCUGAGAGGACGACCAGCCACACUGGGACUGAGACACGGCCCAGACUCCUACGGGAGGCAGCAGUGGGGAAUUUUGGACAAUGGGCGAAAGCCUGAUCCAGCAAUGCCGCGUGCAGGAUGAAGGCCCUCGGGUUGUAAACUGCUUUUGUACGGAACGAAAAGCCUGGGGCUAAUAUCCCCGGGUCAUGACGGUACCGUAAGAAUAAGCACCGGCUAACUACGUG
This 482-nucleotide ribosomal RNA is filed under the name uncultured bacterium. RNAcentral's name for it is "partial 16S ribosomal RNA". It matches the Rfam family "Bacterial small subunit ribosomal RNA", at positions 30 to 507 of the family's 1533-position model. The record is from RNAcentral.